This 65-nucleotide transfer RNA is filed under the name Dipodomys ordii (Ord's kangaroo rat). It matches the Rfam family "tRNA". Rfam says of the family: Transfer RNA (tRNA) molecules are approximately 80 nucleotides in length. Their secondary structure includes four short double-helical elements and three loops (D, anti-codon, and T loops). Lineage: Eukaryota; Metazoa; Chordata; Mammalia; Rodentia; Heteromyidae. The record is from Rfam by way of RNAcentral.
GGUGGCUCAGUGUUAGAGCGCUUGCCUUGCAAGCACGAGGCUCUGGGUUCGAUUCCUCAGCACCA